UUGAGAGGUUGAAGCUGCCAGCAUGAUCUGGUAAUUAACCAAACACUCUAUAUUCUCAUGCCUAGUUCAUCACUCUAGCCAGUAAUUAAUUAGACAAAAUAACGAGGGAAGAUAAUUCCUUCAAUUGGUUUAUAGUUUGGAUUCAAGAUUAGUGGUAUGGUAUCAAUGGUGAAAAAGCAAUACCUGGCUUGGUUUUUCUUAUUCUAAAUUAAGUAGUUUCUGAGCCAAAAAAAAAGGGACUUGUUGGAAUCCUUUAAGAAUCCACAACGAGGGCACAAUUUGGUUAAAUAUAAGAUAUGGUUCCAUCAGGUCAUCUUGCAGCUUCAAUCACUCAA
RNAcentral lists this microRNA precursor (335 nucleotides) under Ammopiptanthus mongolicus. RNAcentral describes it as "precursor microRNA". It matches the Rfam family "MIR167 microRNA precursor family". The record is from RNAcentral. Lineage: Eukaryota; Viridiplantae; Streptophyta; Magnoliopsida; Fabales; Fabaceae.